CUUCUUCCUCUUACUCGAAACAGACGUAGAUUUGAACUCUGGUAUUAGUAGAGCUUCAUCAGUGAUUAAUUCUUCGUAAAGGCGGAGGCUGUAAGUUCAGGGAAAAAAAAGCCUCAGAUUGUUCAUGGUUUGAUGCAUCCUAAGUUGGAUAAUUUUAGGGUUCAAAUAUUAUGUAUCAAUUUUUAACAUUUGGUAUUGCAUUCUUCAUAAAUCUAAUGCUAACUUCAACCCAAAUGUAUUUUUCCC
Molecule: unclassified non-coding RNA, 246 nt
Filed under: Hevea brasiliensis (rubber tree)
Lineage: Eukaryota; Viridiplantae; Streptophyta; Magnoliopsida; Malpighiales; Euphorbiaceae
Source: RNAcentral